GAUGCCAGGGGAGCAAACCUUAGUCCGGCUCCGUGCUUGCACAGGAGCGGACGCAAGGUUUAGCGCCCCGCUCCAACAUGAGCAUAAAAGUGAAGCGUCAGCUUCGCGAUAUGCGAAUGGCGGCAGGAUUGUGAGAGUGCGGAGCACGGAACAAUCCGGGGGCAUC
Molecule: small RNA, 166 nt
Filed under: uncultured Acetatifactor sp.
Lineage: Bacteria; Bacillati; Bacillota; Clostridia; Lachnospirales; Lachnospiraceae
Description: Clostridiales-1 RNA
Rfam family: Clostridiales-1 RNA
Source: RNAcentral